Molecule: ribosomal RNA, 497 nt
Filed under: uncultured bacterium
Lineage: Bacteria
Description: partial 16S ribosomal RNA
Rfam family: Bacterial small subunit ribosomal RNA
Source: RNAcentral
GAUGAACGCUGGCGGCGUGUCUAAUACAUGCAAGUCGAGCGAACAGACGAGGAGCUUGCUCCUCUGACGUUAGCGGCGGACGGGUGAGUAACACGUGGAUAACCUACCUAUAAGACUGGGAUAACUUCGGGAAACCGGAGCUAAUACCGGAUAAUAUAUUAAACCGCAUGGUUCAAUAGUGAAAGACGGUUUUGCUGUCACUUAUAGAUGGAUCCGCGCCGCAUUAGCUAGUUGGUAAGGUAACGGCUUACCAAGGCAACGAUGCGUAGCCGACCUGAGAGGGUGAUCGGCCACACUGGAACUGAGACACGGUCCAGACUCCUACGGGAGGCAGCAGUAGGGAAUCUUCCGCAAUGGGCGAAAGCCUGACGGAGCAACGCCGCGUGAGUGAUGAAGGUCUUCGGAUCGUAAAACUCUGUUAUUAGGGAAGAACAAAUGUGUAAGUAACUAUGCACGUCUUGACGGUACCUAAUCAGAAAGCCACGGCUAACUACGUG